This 305-nucleotide ribosomal RNA is filed under the name uncultured bacterium. Its description in RNAcentral is "bacterial SSU rRNA". It matches the Rfam family "Bacterial small subunit ribosomal RNA", at positions 337 to 636 of the family's 1533-position model. The record is from RNAcentral.
ACCUACGGGGCGCAGCAGUGAGGAAUAUUGGUCAAUGGGCGGGAGCCUGAACCAGCCAAGUCGCGUGAGGGAAGACGGUCCUAUGGAUUGUAAACCUCUUUAGGCGGGGAGCAAUGCCAGGCACGCGUGCCCGGAGGGAGAGUACCCGCAGAAUAAGCAUCGGCUAACUACGUGCCAGCAGCCGCGGUCAUACGUAGGAUCCGAGCAUUAUCCGGAGUGACUGGGUGUGAAGAGUUGCGUAGGUGGCAUAAUAAGUAGCUAGUGAAAUCUGGUGGCUCAACCAUUCAGACUAUUAGCUAAACUGU